UGCUCCUUGUCAGUAUGAAAUUGGAAGACCUCACGGUGCAAAUUGCCCACAGGAGCCUAGAGGGAGUCUAUCGUUCUACCUUAAUUGUAUCUUCAGGAUGAAAAGACGGGUCAUGAAAGAAGAAAGUGGUUCCAUGCCAUUCCCCAAAUUAUUUCAAGACUGAACCGAAGCUUCGCAUUCUGUGGUUGGCUUUUCCACCUGCCCUGAUCCUGUCGAAUUUUACCAUGCCUAGGUAGGUCAUGCUUUCCUCUUUCAGUCACUCUUUCCUCUAGCAAGGAUUUAUUUUGCUCCACAUUUGUGCCAGGAGUUCCAUAUUUGUGUCUAGGAGCUGAGGAUAUAACUAGGGAGCAACUCCUACUCAUGGGGUCAGGAGAUAGUCAUUAAUUAACUACCUGUAUGGGUUAUAAAACGCGAUGUAGCAGGCGUUUGGGGAACCUAUAGUAGGGAAAGUGAACGUGAUCUGUAAGAUUGGGACACUCUAGAGAUUGAGUGGAUACUAACACCUACCAAAAAGGCCCAGGAGGAUUGGGCCUCAAGAGACUCAUCUACCCUCCCACCUGGAAGACCAGUGCAGUGACUGUCCUAACUCGCCUCUUCCGCAUCCACCUUACCCUUUCCUCAUUUUGUAGCAGCUGCAUGGGUUGGGUAAGACUGACAGGCACCUAGCUCAAGGGGUAGCCUUCCUCUGGCAUGGUAAUUAGCUCAACAGUAUCACAUGACCUGGGCUGACUCAUCAAAAAAGUCCAAGGCUUUUGCCCAAGGGCAGGAUGACCCUAUGAUGCUGUGAGAAGACAUGAUGUCACUUACUACCACCGGACAAGCAGCCAGCCUCCAUCACCUGACUCCCAGUUUACUUUGUACCCCACAUUUUUUUGUGCUUUAUCCGUCUCUCUGCCCGUCCAAGUAUUAUUCAAGACCCAUAAAGCCCUUCCCUGAGCAAGCCUCCACUUUUUUCUCACGUCCACCCCCUGAAAUUUACCACACUUGAUUUUCUACUUUAAAGUCCCCAGAAGGAGUUAUUCCGCUGGGCGGUGGGUGAACGUACCAUUUGUUGACCAAUAACUGGUCACCUGGUGGUGAGGUCUGGGGUCACACCCAGGGAGGGAUGGGGAUGGCCAGGCCGUAUGGAACAGUGUGAAAGGGGUAGUGCUCUGGCCUAACGGGGAGCCAGGAGACCCGUGUUCAUUCUGGUUCCUCUGUGAUAAGCAACAAACACUUGGUAUCACUCUUUAGCUCCUAAACUGGUUUAAUGGGCGUUAGGCUUUUUUAUUUCUGAAAGUAACUCCAUGAGAUAGAGGUUGCUAAAACUUCACCUUAUUGAUGAGGACACUGGGGCUCCAAGAUGCUGAGUGAUUUCCCCACGGCCCCAAUCCGAGAAGUGGUGGAUGUGGGAUGGGAAGCUAGCGGGUCCUUCUGUCUCAGAGGCCUAAGCUCUUCACACGGCUGCCUUGCCACUGAGCACUUUGAGUUUCAGUGUUUUCAACUCUCAUAGAGAAAAAUAACCUUUAUUUGCCAGAAUUUGGGGUGGAUGAAGGGGCGACAUGGAUUUGAAAGCAUUUUGAGAAGUUCAGAGCCGUCUGCCAACGGGGGGUAGGGAGGGGAGCCUUAUCUAGGAGACAGGCCUUGAGAACGCUUCUCAUUUUUACUUCUCAUUUCCCUAAGGAUGGCUAGAAGUGAGAAACAGAUUUCCCCAAACUUCUUUGGUUGGCUUCUCAGCAGGAUGAACUUCUCAGAAGAUGGUCUGGAGCCUAAUGCUUUUGACCAUUCACUGGCUAAUUCACGGCAGAAUGGUUAUGCCCAAUCACCCCGCAUGGUAAGAACUCCCACAGCAAACGUCCCCUGCCAACCUGCCUUUGGAGGUGGGGGGGGGGGGAGCUGGAGCCGGAGGCCCUCUGCCUUCUGUCCCGGCCAAGACUCUGAUGUUUUGACAGCAGGAGCAUCAGCCCUAAGACACUGUUCACAACAGGAAGGGACAACAGCUCCUCCCCUUUGUCACGUAUCUUUCCUCUGGGUUAUCACUUCCUCCACCUUAACCUGUUUCCCCCCACAAGACUUAAGAGAUGAGUGGAGAAGGGGGGAGCUGGGUGGCUCAGUUGGUUAACGGUCCAUUAGCGGUCCAUUAGAAUGUACCAGCAUCUCAUGGCAUCCUCUUCAUGGAAGCCAGAGCAUCUCAGAGCUGGGAGAGACCUUAGGGACUACGAAGUCCUAUCCCACCUCACAGAUGAGGAGACUGAUGCUCCCUCCAAGGGUCACGGUGACAUGUUCUCAGUCAGUGGAGCCAGGACUCCUAAGGCAGGGCUUCCCAAGCUAUGCCCCCGCCACCCCUGAGGCCGGUGGCAGCGCCUCAGGGUGUUUCUGGAGAGCUGAGAGAAGGUCCAGGGGGUGAGAGAUGGGGAGGGGUGAUGGGAAGGAGGCUGGGGAAGUCUUCUUGCGACAGGGAGGCUUCCACUCCGUGCAGUAAUUUACAUGUUUGAUUCUGCAUAAGGUUGUGUUUCAUAAAAGCAAACUGUUGCUUAAGAAAGAAAAACACCAAUUUUGGAAACUACUGUUCCUUACCCAACUUCCCCUUACCUCACGUACCACAGAAAGAGGAUUUUAAAUCAGUCUUAGGUACGUGAGACCGAGGUUGCCCCUCGGUCAUCUACACCCCCAUUCCCUCUUGGCUCUUCUGGUCUUUUUCAACAUCUCCUCAAUACCUGCUCACCCACGUUUUCUGUUUUCCUUUUUUUUUUUCUUUUUGGAGAGGGGUGGUGGAGGGGCAGAGGGAGAGAGAGAGAAUCUUAAGCGGGCUCCACGCCCAGCGCCGAGCCUGACGUGGGACUUGAUCUCACGACGGUGAGACCAUGACCUGAGCUGAAAUCAAGAGUCGGAUGCUUACCCGACUGAACCACCGAGGGUUGUUUUCCUUCUUUAAAUUGUCUCCUCAGGGCGCCUGGGUGGCUCAGUCGGUUAAGCGUCUGACUUCGGCUCAGGUCACAAUCUCGCUCGAGGUUUGCGGGUUCGAGCCCCGCGACGGGCUCUGUGCCGACAGCUGGGAGCCCAGAGCCCGCUUCGGAUUCUGGGUCUCCCUCGCUCUCUGCCCCUCCCCUGCUCACGCCCUGUCUCUCUCUCUCACUCUCUUUCUCAAAAAUAGAGAAGCAUCAAAACAUUUUUGAAAACAUUGUCUCCUCAGCCCCGCUGUAUCACUUAGUCCUCCCAAAAUCUGUGAGGGAGAAGCAGACUAUUGAGCCCAUUUUCCAGAUGAGAAUCCUGAGUCCACAAGAGCGGUUUCUUGGCCCCUCUGAACGUGGCCAGGGUGGUUCCUGUUGGUACAUCCACAUCCUGAGCCUGGAGUGACCUGCUCUCUUCAGUCCCUACCUUGGCCUCGGGUAGCUGGAGAGGUAAGGAAUCUCAACAGCUCUCCUGGGGAAGAUUCAGCUCAAAUCCGCAAUUACAGAGGGCUUCUCCGGGGUCCAGCGCAUUGUCAGGCAACUGGGUGUGAUGAAAAGAACACUAACUAGCUUUGGAAACCCAGUCCCUGCCCUACUUUUUAACGGCUGUACCAUCUCGCCCAAGAUACCUGACCUCUCCAGCCCAAGUUUGUCCAUCUAAGAACGGAGGGUGAUGACGUCUAUCUCACAGGCUCAUGAGGACACGGUGUGAAAAACGCCUUGGAUGUGCAGCAGGAGCGUAAUACAUGCGAUUAGUACUGUACUUGUUUGGUACCUGGUAUCUCAUUUAAAACAUCACAAUAAUUCUGCAAGUUAGGCUAUGUGCUCGCGUACAGAGGCCGAGGACCUUACUCACGACAAUACGACGAGGUCAAACCCGGGGGUCCUUGUCCAGGGCUGGCACUGCUUCCUCUGCCCUGCCCACUAGAGGCCCUAGGACAAUCGUGGACUCCCUUCAACCACGGGGGGUGUAGCACCCAGUGCUGCCCACAGCUCGCGUUCCAGGGAGCCGUUUGUAAAGCGAAAGCCCACGGUAGGACCACCUGCUUCGAGCCAGGAGCUUCCUAAAAGCAUGCAAAAUUCUAAUGAACUCAGGGAAGGCGAGGGUCUGCUGAUGCUGAGCACUCAGUGAGGCCGGGAAGGACUGGGAGCAGCAACCGACUGUGUGGUCUGGGGCAGGUCGCCGCAGGAAGUCGUGGCGUGCCCACAAACGGACCACCUGUGCCAAGUCCCCAGAGGGAGACCUCAUGGGGGUGCCCUGCGAGUUGGUGACUGGAGAGAUAGUCCUAACUGAUGGGGCUCCAGGUCCUUUCUGAGAGCUCUGAGGUUAGUAACAUCUUCAAAGAGUAGAACCCUUGGGACCGGAGAAGCAACAGCCUCAGUCCUUCGUGUUAGUAAACAUAAAGUGCCUACAGUAGGAGACGCUCUUCUGAGUGGACACGGGUUGAAUUGGCCUGGUUAAGAGAAAAUUCAAACCUUUCCUGCCAUCAACCUCCCUGUUAUGCACAGUCAUUGAAAAUAUCUUUCUAAGUAUAUUUAAAACCUAUUUUUAAAUAUGGACUUCUAAAUAUUUAAAAAACGUAUACUUAUAAAUAAGGAAACAUUCACCAGUACGCUCUCAUUUUGAUUUUAAAGUUGCCCUCCAAGGGAAGGAAGGCUGAGGCUCGGGGAAGAUAACAUCUUUUAUUUAAAUCAUGGCAGAACACAGGUCUUUCUGAUAUCCAGCACCCUUCCUUCAGCCCUUCCUUCCCUGGGACAACCAGAAGGGGCGACUGUCCCCAGAGCCAUUCUUUCUCCUCUCGUUCUUCCUGUCCUCUGAUUUAGAGGUCACAAGAUGCAGAAAAUAAUAUGAGAUGAGGGAGCAGAACUUCCUGAGUUGGCCAGAGUCCCAGAGUGGACCCCAAAGCCUAGAGGUGUACAGGAUGGGGAAGGCAGUCAGGAGAACAGGACAGUCUGGACUUACCCGGAUGCUGUGAGAGAAGGACAAGGAUGAAGCAUGCUAGGUCUCCCAAAACCACUUGCUAAAGAGACUUAUUUCCAUUGGAUACUCUUUCCUGCUUUGUCAACAUGAUACUCUACAUGGAAAACCUGGAAGACUCCACCAAAAAGCUGCCGGAACUGAUAUAUGAAUUCAGCAAAGUCGCAGGAUACAAAAUCGAUGUACAGAAAUCAGUUGCAUUUCUAUACACCAAUAAUGAAGCAACAGAAAAAGAAAUCAAGGAAUCGAUCCCGUUUAUAAUUACACCAAGAACCACAAAAUACUUAGGAAUAAACGUAACCAGAGAUGUAAAAGAUCUGUAGGCUGAAAACUAUAGAAAACUUAUGAAGGGAAUUGAAGAAGACACAAAGGAAUGGAAAAACGUUCCAUGCUCAUGGACUGGAAGAAUAAAUAUUGUUAAAAUGUCAAUGCUACCGAAAGCAAUCUACACAUUCAAUGCAAUCCCAAUCAAAAUUGCACUGGCAUUCUUCUUAAAGCUAGAAGAAACAAUCCUGAAAUCUGUAUGGAACCACAAAAGACCCCGGAUUAGUGUCUUUUAAAAGAGGCCCCAGAGAGCUCCAUUCUUCCAGCUCCAUCCUUCCUUCUACCACACGAGGACACAAUGAGAAGAUGGCCAUUUAUGAACUAGUAAGUGGGCCCUCCCAGAUACUGAAUCUGUUGGUGCCUUGAUCUUGGACUUCCCAGCCUCCAGGGUAUGAGAAGUAGAUAUUUGUUGUGCAAGUCUCCCAGGCUUUGGUAUUUUUGUUCCAGUAGCCUGGAUGAACUAAGACAUGGGGGAUUCCCUGCUCAAUCUCCUUUUCACUUUAUGUAUUCCUCCCAAGAGAGAUCCUUCUUGUACAUGAUAUGAUUUCCACCACAAUUUGUGUGCUGACUAUUCAUAUUUCUGGGAGGUAGCUCAGAUCUCUCUCUUGAGCCCCAGGUGCACAUAUUCGACUCUGUUUCAGACAUCUUAAUCACAACAUAUCCCAAACUGAACUUAUCUUUCAUGUCCCACCCACUAAUUUAGUCCCCCAAGCCAACAAUCGGCUCUUUCUUUUCCCUUUCCCUCCUCCCCCCCGCUAAAAAACCAGGUAUGGACUUCUGCUGAUUCUGACUUCUUCCCAUCACCCUCUCUACUGCUGCUGCUGCUGAGUCUUUCAUUAUUGUGUAGCUGGAAUCUUCUAACAUCUCCUUACUUCUAAUCUCAUCCUCCUCUUCAUCAGCGUUCUUUCUAAUCUGUGGAAUGAAGCACAUCAUCCAUCAGCUCAAAAUCUUUACUUACUUCUCCUUGAAAGGGGUCGGGAUAAAACCCAAACUCCUGACCACACACACAAAAGCCUUAUUGAUCUGGACCUGGUUUCCUUUUUUUUGUUUGUUUCAGUCACACAAAAUAUCCUCAGUUUCCCAAUCUAGCCACGUUCUCUGCUUUCACAGAUGGUAUCAUAUUCAUCUUCCUUAUGUAACACACUCCCUUGCUCUUCAAAGGAGUCACACCUAGUGUCUGUCUCCCAGCAGCUUCCCCCGAUCACACAGUUUGUGUUGGGUGGUCCAUCCAUGUGGUCCCAUUAUUCUCCAUUUCAAAACCAUAUUUACACAUGAGACUGUGAGCUGCUUAAGAGCAGGCAGGUGUAGGGGCGCCUGGGUGGCUCAGUCGGUUAGGUGUCCGACUUCAGCUCAGGUCAUGAUCUCGUGGUCCGUGAGUUCGAGCCCCAUGUUGGGCUCUGUGCUGACAGCUCAGAGCCUGGAACCUGUUUCAGAUUCUGUGUCUCCCUCUCUCUCUGACCCUCCCCCAUUCAUGCUCUGUCUCUCUCUGUCUCAAAAAUAAAUAAACAUUAGAAAAAAAAUUUUAAAGAGAGCAGGCAGAUGUAUAGCUUUCAUUUCUACAACUUCAGAUGUAGCCCAAGAGAUAUCUAAUAGGGGUGACUGGGUGGCUCAUUUGAUUGAGCAUCUGACUCUUGAUUUCAGCUCGGGUCGUGAUCCCAGGGUCAUUGGCCUUGGAGUCAGCUUAAGAUUGUCUCUCUCUCUUCCUCUGUCCCUUUUCCCUGCUCUCUC
Acinonyx jubatus (cheetah) is the source of this 6960-nucleotide long non-coding RNA. RefSeq lists it as uncharacterized. The record is from RefSeq and is a predicted model, not a curated record. The transcript is spliced from 4 exons. NCBI's taxonomy places the organism in Eukaryota, Metazoa, Chordata, Mammalia, Carnivora, Felidae.